This 494-nucleotide ribosomal RNA is filed under the name uncultured Glomus. RNAcentral describes it as "SSU rRNA". It matches the Rfam family "Eukaryotic small subunit ribosomal RNA", at positions 569 to 1068 of the family's 1831-position model. The record is from RNAcentral. Lineage: Eukaryota; Fungi; Glomeromycota; Glomeromycetes; Glomerales; Glomeraceae.
AGCAGCCGCGGUAAUUCCAGCUCCAAUAGCGUAUAUUAAAGUUGUUGCAGUUAAAAAGCUCGUAGUUGAAUUUCGGGAUCAGUGGGUCGGUCGUGCCACUGGUAUGCACUGGCUCUACUGGUUCCUCCUUCUUGAAGAACUGUAAUGCCAUUAAUUUGGUGUUGCAGGGAAACAGGACUGUUACUUUGAAAAAUUAGAGUGUUUAAAGCAGGCAAUCGCUUGAAUACAUUAGCAUGGAAUAAUGAAAUAGGACGUUCGAUCCUAUUUUGUUGGUUUCUAGGAUUGACGUAAUGAUUAAUAGGGAUAGUUGGGGGCAUUAGUAUUCAAUUGUCAGAGGUGAAAUUCUUGGAUUUAUUGAAGACUAACUACUGCGAAAGCAUUUGCCAAGGAUGUUUUCAUUAAUCAAGAACGAAAGUUAGGGGAUCGAAGACGAUCAGAUACCGUCGUAGUCUUAACCAUAAACUAUGCCGACUAGGGAUCGGAUGAUGUUUAAU